AAUAGAUACCCCGGUAGUCCACGCCGUAAACGAUGAGUGCUAAGUGUUAGAGGGUUUCCGCCCUUUAGUGCUGCAGCUAACGCAUUAAGCACUCCGCCUGGGGAGUACGGCCGCAAGGCUGAAACUCAAAGGAAUUGACGGGGGCCCGCACAAGCGGUGGAGCAUGUGGUUUAAUUCGAAGCAACGCGAAGAACCUUACCAGGUCUUGACAUCCUCUGCCAACCCUAGAGAUAGGGCGUUCCCCUUCGGGGGACAGAGUGACAGGUGGUGCAUGGUUGUCGUCAGCUCGUGUCGUGAGAUGUUGGGUUAAGUCCCGCAACGAGCGCAACCCUUGAUCUUAGUUGCCAGCAUUUAGUUGGGCACUCUAAGGUGACUGCCGGUGACAAACCGGAGGAAGGUGGGGAUGACGUCAAAUCAUCAUGCCCCUUAUGACCUGGGCUACACACGUGCUACAAUGGAUGGUACAAAGAGCUGCGAACCCGCGAGGGUAAGCCAAUCUCAUAAAGCCAUUCUCAGUUCGGA
This 522-nucleotide ribosomal RNA is filed under the name uncultured bacterium. Its description in RNAcentral is "bacterial SSU rRNA". It matches the Rfam family "Bacterial small subunit ribosomal RNA", at positions 777 to 1297 of the family's 1533-position model. The record is from RNAcentral.